AGAUUGAACGCUGGCGGCAUGCCUUACACAUGCAAGUCGAACGGCAGCACGGGAGCAAUCCUGGUGGCGAGUGGCGAACGGGUGAGUAAUACAUCGGAACGUGCCCAAUCGUGGGGGAUAACGCAGCGAAAGCUGUGCUAAUACCGCAUAACGCCUUCGGGGAAAGCGGGAUACGCAAGGACCUGGCGACGGACUAGACUGAAGCCGGAUGGUCCGGAAUUAGGCUAGUUGGUGAGGUUAAUGGCUAGACCAAGGCGAACGAUCCGUAAGCUGGGUACUGAGAGGUAUGAUCAGCCACACUGGAACUGAGACACGGUCCACGACUCCUACGGAGGCAGCGAGUGGGGAAGUAAUUGGGAACAAGUGGGACGCAAGCCUGAUCCAGCCAUACCGGCGUGGU
RNAcentral lists this ribosomal RNA (400 nucleotides) under uncultured soil bacterium. RNAcentral describes it as "bacterial SSU rRNA". It matches the Rfam family "Bacterial small subunit ribosomal RNA", at positions 26 to 405 of the family's 1533-position model. The record is from RNAcentral.